UGUCAUAUGCUGUUUAUGCAGUUUAUUUUGCUAAAGAUAUGAAGCUUGUGAAGUAGUAUUAAUUGUAAUGUAAAAUGCAAGCUGGGAUAUGGGAUGAGCUUCCAUUGAGAUGGGAUGAGCUUCCAUUGAGACAUAAGAAAACAAGAAAGGAAAAAGUUCAAGAAAGGCACUUUUAGUAUUCUUGUUUUUGUUUCUUCUUUUUCUUUAUUUUUGCUUUUAGGCAAAUCUUCCUCCUUAAUCCUUUUUCUUGAUUUGUUUUUGGAGGGAGGCCCUAAACUUUAUUACCCAUUUUUGGUGAUCAUUUUGGAAUUUUUGUUGCUUAAGCCUUGUGUACUGAUCUCUUGUACUCCAUCCAUGUAUCCUGAAAAAAAG
Molecule: long non-coding RNA, 372 nt
Filed under: Solanum tuberosum (potato)
Lineage: Eukaryota; Viridiplantae; Streptophyta; Magnoliopsida; Solanales; Solanaceae
Description: long non-coding RNA (STUB_LNC004989)
Source: RNAcentral